UUUCCGUAGGUGAACCUGCGGAAGGAUCAUUACUGGGUAACCGAGCGCUCCGGCGCUCACCCCCCACCCUCUGUUUCCCGCCCCUGUUCGGCGUCAGGCGGGUCCCCUCUGGGGGCCCUCCGGCCGGAACCCAAACCCUGAACAACAGUGAAGCCUGAAGUAACAAGCAAAUAGUUAAAACUUUCAACAACGGAUCUCUUGGUUCUGGCAUCGAUGAAGAACGCAGC
Molecule: unclassified non-coding RNA, 227 nt
Filed under: uncultured fungus
Lineage: Eukaryota; Fungi
Description: sequence contains ITS1, 5.8S rRNA gene
Rfam family: 5.8S ribosomal RNA (bases 179-227)
Source: RNAcentral